UACGUAGGGGGCUAGCGUUGUCCGGAAUCAUUGGGCGUAAAGAGCGUGUAGGCGGUCCGGUAAGUCCGCUGUGAAAGUCGGGGGCUCAACCCUCGAAUGCCGGUGGAUACUGUCGGGCUAGAGUGCGGAAGAGGCGAGUGGAAUUCCUGGUGUAGCGGUGAAAUGCGCAGAUAUCAGGAGGAACACCUAUUGCGAAGGCAGCUCGCUGGGACGUAACUGACGCUGAGACGCAAAAGCGUGGGGAGCAAACAGG
This 253-nucleotide ribosomal RNA is filed under the name uncultured bacterium. Its description in RNAcentral is "partial 16S ribosomal RNA". It matches the Rfam family "Bacterial small subunit ribosomal RNA", at positions 524 to 776 of the family's 1533-position model. The record is from RNAcentral.